UGAGUAACACGUGGGUGAUCUGCCCUGCACUUUGGGAUAAGCCUGGGAAACUGGGUCUAAUACCGAAUAGGACUCCGGACUUCAUGGUCUGGGGUGGAAAGCUUUUGCGGUGUGGGAUGGGCCCGCGGCCUAUCAGCUUGUUGGUGGGGUGAUGGCCUACCAAGGCGACGACGGGUAGCCGGCCUGAGAGGGUGACCGGCCACACUGGGACUGAGAUACGGCCCAGACUCCUACGGGAGGCAGCAGUGGGGAAUAUUGCACAAUGGGCGCAAGCCUGAUGCAGCGACGCCGCGUGAGGGAUGACGGCCUUUCGGGUUGUAAACCUCUUUCAGCACAGACGAAGCGCGAGUGACGGUAUGUGCAGAAGAAGGACCGGCCAACUACGUGCCAGCAGCCGCGGUAAUACGUAGGGUCCGAGCGUUGUCCGGAAUUACUGGGCGUAAAGAGCUCGUAGGUGGUUUGUCGCGUUGUUCGUGAAAACUCACAGCUUAACUGUGGGCGUGCGGGCGAUACGGGCAGACUGGAGUACUGCAGGGGAGACUGGAAUUCCUGGUGUAGCGGUGGAAUGCGCAGAUAUCAGGAGGAACACCGGUGGCGAAGGCGGGUCUCUGGGCAGUAACUGACGCUGAGGAGCGAAAGCGUGGGGAGCGAACAGGAUUAGAUACCCUGGUAGUCCACGCCGUAAACGGUGGGUACUAGGUGUGGGUUUCCUUCCUUGGGAUCCGUGCCGUAGCUAACGCAUUAAGUACCCCGCCUGGGGAGUACGGCCGCAAGGCUAAAACUCAAAGGAAUUGACGGGGGCCCGCACAAGCGGCGGAGCAUGUGGAUUAAUUCGAUGCAACGCGAAGAACCUUACCUGGGUUUGACAUGCACAGGACGCCGGCAGAGAUGUCGGUUCCCUUGUGGCCUGUGUGCAGGUGGUGCAUGGCUGUCGUCAGCUCGUGUCGUGAGAUGUUGGGUUAAGUCCCGCAACGAGCGCAACCCUUGUCUCAUGUUGCCAGCACGUUAUGGUGGGGACUCGUGAGAGACUGCCGGGGUCAACUCGGAGGAAGGUGGGGAUGACGUCAAGUCAUCAUGCCCCUUAUGUCCAGGGCUUCACACAUGCUACAAUGGCCGGUACAAAGGGCUGCGAUGCCGUGAGGUGGAGCGAAUCCUUUCAAAGCCGGUCUCAGUUCGGAUGGGGGUCUGCAACUCGACCCCGUGAAGUCGGAGUCGCUAGUAAUCCCAGAUCAGCAACGCUGCGGUGAAUACGUUCCCGGGCCUUGUACACACCGCCCGUCACGUCAUGAAAGUCGGUAACACCCGAAGCCGG
Molecule: ribosomal RNA, 1312 nt
Filed under: Mycobacterium sp. DWMJ-1252A2
Lineage: Bacteria; Bacillati; Actinomycetota; Actinomycetes; Mycobacteriales; Mycobacteriaceae
Description: bacterial SSU rRNA
Rfam family: Bacterial small subunit ribosomal RNA
Source: RNAcentral